RNAcentral lists this ribosomal RNA (499 nucleotides) under uncultured bacterium. RNAcentral describes it as "partial 16S ribosomal RNA". It matches the Rfam family "Bacterial small subunit ribosomal RNA", at positions 30 to 523 of the family's 1533-position model. The record is from RNAcentral.
AUUGAACGCUGGCGGCAUGCCUUACACAUGCAAGUCGAACGGCAGCACGGGAGCAAUCCUGGUGGCGAGUGGCGAACGGGUGAGUAAAGUAUCGGAACGUGCCCAGUCGUGGGGGAUAACGUAGCGAAAGUUACGCUAAUACCGCAUACGAUCUAUGGAUGAAAGCGGGGGAUCGCAAGACCUCGCGCGAUUGGAGCGGCCGAUAUCAGAUUAGGUAGUUGGUGGGGUAAAGGCUCACCAAGCCGACGAUCUGUAGCUGGUCUGAGAGGACGACCAGCCACACUGGACUGAGACACGGCCCAGACUCCUACGGGAGGCAGCAGUGGGGAAUUUUGGACAAUGGGCGAAAGCCUGAUCCAGCCAUGCCGCGUGCAGGAUGAAGGCCUUCGGGUUGUAAACUGCUUUUGUACGGAACGAAAAGGUUUGGCCUAAUAAGCUGAGCUCAUGACGGUACCGUAAGAAUAAGCACCGGCUAACUACGUACCAGCCGCCGCUGUAA